GUGAACGCUGGCGGUAGGCCUAACACAUGCAAGUCGAACGGCAGCACAGUAAGAGCUUGCUCUUUCGGGUGGCGAGUGGCGGACGGGUGAGGAAUACAUCGGAAUCUACUUUUUCGUGGGGGAUAACGUAGGGAAACUUACGCUAAUACCGCAUACGACCUACGGGUGAAAGCAGGGGAUCUUCGGACCUUGCGCGAUUGAAUGAGCCGAUGUCGGAUUAGCUAGUUGGCGGGGUAAAGGCCCACCAAGGCGACGAUCCGUAGCUGGUCUGAGAGGAUGAUCAGCCACACUGGAACUGAGACACGGUCCAGACUCCUACGGGAGGCAGCAGUGGGGAAUAUUGGACAAUGGGCGCAAGCCUGAUCCAGCCAUACCGCGUGGGUGAAGAAGGCCUUCGGGUUGUAAAGCCCUUUUGUUGGGAAAGAAAAGCAGCAGGUUAAUACCCCGCUGUUCUGACGGUACCCAAAGAAUAAGCACCGGCUAACUUCGUG
This 491-nucleotide ribosomal RNA is filed under the name uncultured bacterium. RNAcentral's name for it is "partial 16S ribosomal RNA". It matches the Rfam family "Bacterial small subunit ribosomal RNA", at positions 29 to 507 of the family's 1533-position model. The record is from RNAcentral.